UGAGUAACGCGUAAGGAACCUGCCUUUUAGAGGGGAAUAACAAUGAGAAAUCAUUGCUAAUACCGCAUAUGCCAUAGUUAUCACAUGAUAAUAGUGGGAAAGGAGCAAUUCACUAAAAGAUGGCCUUGCGUCUGAUUAGAUAGUUGGUAAGGUAACGGCUUACCAAGUCGACGAUCAGUAGCCGGACUGAGAGGUUGAACGGCCACAUUGGGACUGAGAUACGGCCCAGACUCCUACGGGAGGCAGCAG
RNAcentral lists this ribosomal RNA (249 nucleotides) under uncultured bacterium. RNAcentral describes it as "partial 16S ribosomal RNA". It matches the Rfam family "Bacterial small subunit ribosomal RNA", at positions 107 to 354 of the family's 1533-position model. The record is from RNAcentral.